Molecule: ribosomal RNA, 253 nt
Filed under: uncultured bacterium
Lineage: Bacteria
Description: partial 16S ribosomal RNA
Rfam family: Bacterial small subunit ribosomal RNA
Source: RNAcentral
GACGUAGGGCGCGAGCGUUGUCCGGAUUUAUUGGGCGUAAAGAGCUCGUAGGCGGCUUGUCGCGUCGACUGUGAAAUCCCGCGGCUCAACUGCGGGUCUGCAGUCGAUACGGGCAGGCUAGAGUUCGGUAGGGGAGACUGGAAUUCCUGGUGUAGCGGUGAAAUGCGCAGAUAUCAGGAGGAACACCGAUGGCGAAGGCAGGUCUCUGGGCCGCAACUGACGCUGAGGAGCGAAAGCAUGGGGAGCGAACAGG